RNAcentral lists this long non-coding RNA (991 nucleotides) under Gossypium barbadense (sea-island cotton). RNAcentral describes it as "long non-coding RNA (GBAR_LNC013999)". Lineage: Eukaryota; Viridiplantae; Streptophyta; Magnoliopsida; Malvales; Malvaceae. The record is from RNAcentral.
CUUAAUCCAAAUAAAAUUAUAUUUGUAGUUAAUAAUAAUUAAAUUUAGUUUUAUUAUUAUAGGCCAAGCAUAAUAUUAAAAAAUAAAAUUAGUUUCUUAUUUAUAAUUUUGAUAAAAAAAUUAAAAAUGUGAGUGUAAUACCAAUUAUUUGCCUGGGCUCACAUAAUAAACCAAAACCAAAAAAAGUAAUAAACAGGCCUGUACAAAACAAAGUACAGCCCAAAUCUUUAAAAUACAAGCCCAAUUAAAAUGGCCCAACACUAAAAUAAAAACCCUAAUCUUCAGAAGCAGCAACCCUAGCCGUCGCCUUCAAAUGGUUCCAGCAGACUUCAAGUGACGUACGAUUCAGAACCAGGUUCCUCCACGCGCCCUGCUUCUCCACUGUCGUACCUGCAACAAACACGAGUAGCGAAUAGUACGCAAAUAGGAUAACAGAUUAAGAGACAGGAUUUUUGGGGAUUCAUUUGAUUUUAGUUUGUGUUUUCGGCUAUAAAAGGAGCCGAUUGAUUGAUUUAAAGGGGGAAUUUUCAGUGUAAAAAGAUACGAAAAAGCACAGAGAAAAUACAGAUUUAGAACUCUUUUUUUCAAAGGUGGUUUUUUUAUUUUAUUUUGCAGUGUCCAUUUUAUUUGCAAACGUUUUUUUCUUUUUUUUUUCAUUAUUAUUUCGUAAAAUAACAAAGAAAAGAAGGGAAGAAUACUUACCUGUUCGUCAAGGUCGCCACGCCACCACCAUCUCCGCCGUCAUCGGAGCUUUGGUGAAGAGGUAGACGGACGACGGCGCGGAAUGGGUUAAAAGAACCCUAGCAGAGCCACACUUUGUUUUUUUAAAAAGAAACCAAAUGAUUUUAUUUUUUUUCUUUUUUUCAAUUUUGUUUCAUUUAUGCAGCACAUGAAACGGCGCCGUUUUAAAUGGCCAGACCCGCACGGUGACCCGACCCGGUGGGGAGGAUCCGCGCGUUAUUGCCUUGAACGGUAUAAUUUCGCAUUUAGC